Molecule: long non-coding RNA, 734 nt
Organism: Stegodyphus dumicola
Lineage: Eukaryota; Metazoa; Arthropoda; Arachnida; Araneae; Eresidae
Gene: Letm1
Source: RefSeq, a predicted model, not a curated record
AGUGUUUCUCUAAAUUAUUUUUUUCAUUAACAGAGAUGAUAUCAUCAGCAUAAAUGAACUAGUGCUUGCAAUUCGACGGAUACAAAAGAUAUCUGAUGACACUAGAUUAGAGAGGAUAGUUGAUGUCUUGGAAAAGAUGGAUAUUGAUCAUGAUGGUGCUGUUGAAGUUGAUCAUGUCUUGAAGGUAAUAGAACUGAUUGGAACGGAUAAUGUGAAGCUUACUUCUAAGCAAAUAGAUGAAAUUAUUGAAUUGCUUUCAAAGGAAGAUAUGCUGGAGCUUGAGGAAAAGAUACAAAAGCAAAAGCAAGCAGAAGAAAAUGUGUCUUCUAACAGCCAAACACAAGAAAGAACUUAAUUUUACAAUUUAAAUAAGAGUGUCCAUUAUUACUAAAGUUAUAUGUGCACAUUAUGAAAAAUGAUAACUUUGGGCAGGGGUAUUUAUUAAAGCACAGUCAGUGACCAUUAUGUGUAGUAUAUAAAGCAUUUUAAUAUUUAUCUGGCAUUUUGUAUAUAUUUGUCAAAUACUGUCAUAAUAGCAGCAAACAUGUAAUUUGUUAUAUUUUUAUAGUGGCAAACCAUCUUCUUAAGGAUUUAAUGUACAUUCAUGAAGUGGAAGAUGUAGAUUUAUAAUUCAGCCAUCAGUAUGUAAUGUUUUGCGCAAUGUAUGUUAUAUAUGUACAAAUCAUUCUUUUUUGUAAAUUUGAGAAAGUGAAAUAAAUAGUAUUGUGUGUGUA